RNAcentral lists this ribosomal RNA (468 nucleotides) under uncultured bacterium. RNAcentral describes it as "partial 16S ribosomal RNA". It matches the Rfam family "Bacterial small subunit ribosomal RNA", at positions 28 to 507 of the family's 1533-position model. The record is from RNAcentral.
GACGAACGCUGGCGGCGUGCUUAACACAUGCAAGUCGAACGGAAAGGCCCUGCUUUUGUGGGUUGCUCGAGUGGCGAACGGGUGAGUAACACGUGAGUAACCUGCCCUUGACUUUGGGAUAACUUCAGGAAACUGGGGCUAAUACCGGAUAUGAGCUCCUGCUGCAUGGUGGGGGUUGGAAAGUUUCGGCGGUUGGGGAUGGACUCGCGGCUUAUCAGCUUGUUGGUGGGGUAGUGGCUUACCAAGGCUUUGACGGGUAGCCGGCAUGAGAGGGUGACCGGCCACAUUGGGACUGAGAUACGGCCCAGACUCCUACGGGAGGCAGCAGGGGGGAAUAUUGCACAAUGGGCGGAAGCCUGAGGCAGCAACGCCGCGUGCGGGAUGACGGCCUUCGGGUGGUAAACCGAUUUCGCAUGUGACGAAGCGUGAGUGACGGUAAUGGGUAAAGAAGCACCGGCUAACUACGUG